UCGCCUGUUUUACAAAAACAUGUCCCUUUGAAGUUUUAUAUAGGGUUUGACCUGCCCAUUGAAUUUAAAUUUAAAAGGCCGCAGUAUUUUAACUGUGCAAAGGUAGCAUAAUCAUUAGUUUUUUAAUUGAAAGCUGGAAUGAAAGGUUGGACGAGGUAUUAUCUGUUUCUAAUAUAAAAUAUAGAAUUUUAUUUUUUAGUCAAAAAGCUAAAAUUUUUUUUAAAGACGAGAAGACCCUAUAGAUCUUUAUAAUUAUUUGAUUUAAGUUAUAAAGUUUAUUUUUAUUUAAAUUAAUAAUUUAUUUUAUUGGGGUGAUAUGAAGAUUUAAAUAACUCUUUAAUAUUUUUAACAUUAAUUUAUGAAUUAUUUGAUCCUUUAUUAAAGAUUAAUAAAUUAAGUUACCUUAGGGAUAACAGCGUAAUUCUUUUGGAGAGUUCUUAUCGAUAAAAGAGAUUGCGACCUCGAUGUUGGAUUAAGAGAUAUAGCUAGGUGUAGCCGUUUAGUAUAAUAGUCUGUUCGACUAAUAAUUUCUUACAUGAUCUGAGUUCAAAACCGGAGA
This 559-nucleotide ribosomal RNA is filed under the name Andrenosoma fulvicaudum. RNAcentral's name for it is "partial 16S ribosomal RNA". It matches the Rfam family "Bacterial large subunit ribosomal RNA", at positions 1796 to 2624 of the family's 2925-position model. The record is from RNAcentral. Lineage: Eukaryota; Metazoa; Arthropoda; Insecta; Diptera; Asilidae.